GAGGGUAUAGCUCAAGUGGUAGAGCACAUGUUUAAUAUGCACAGGGUCCUGGGUUCAAUCCUCAGUACCUACG
Molecule: transfer RNA, 73 nt
Filed under: Camelus bactrianus (Bactrian camel)
Lineage: Eukaryota; Metazoa; Chordata; Mammalia; Artiodactyla; Camelidae
Also listed under: 1 other name
Rfam family: tRNA
About the family: Transfer RNA (tRNA) molecules are approximately 80 nucleotides in length. Their secondary structure includes four short double-helical elements and three loops (D, anti-codon, and T loops). Further hydrogen bonds mediate the characteristic L-shaped molecular structure. tRNAs have two regions of fundamental functional importance: the anti-codon, which is responsible for specific mRNA codon recognition, and the 3' end, to which the tRNAs corresponding amino acid is attached (by aminoacyl-tRNA synthetases). tRNAs cope with the degeneracy of the genetic code in two manners: having more than one tRNA (with a specific anti-codon) for a particular amino acid; and 'wobble' base-pairing, i.e. permitting non-standard base-pairing at the 3rd anti-codon position.
Source: Rfam by way of RNAcentral